AUUAACGCUGCCUCUUCCAUAUUCUUGAGUCCGAUAUCACAUACACCCGCAUCAAGGAAUUUAGCGAAAAAUGGCAAUUCUUAAUGACUGUUUCUGGCUGAUCUUGAUGAAUUGUCAGAUAACGAAGGUCAUCUUCUGGAAGCAGAUAAUAAUGAUGCUGAUUUUACUGACAUUGCCAAGCUACAAAACACUCAGCGGUUUAUUCAAAUCAUGAAGGAUGGUUUUGUUGCACUUCCCUUGUCUUAAUCAGCAACUGAUUUCCUUCUAUAGAAAGUUGAACAUGCAUUACGAAAUGUGGCUGAGAACUCAACUCAUGAAAUAGUCUUGGAAGAUGAGUAUCAGUUGAUCGUUGAUUGUAAUGCCUUGUCUGUUGAUAUUGAAAAUGAAAUUGUAAUAAUUCAUAAUUUUAUCCGCGACUUGAAAUUCCCAGAACUUGAAUAUCUUGUUCAUCACCCAAUUGAUUACGCCCGGGUUGUUAAAAAUAUUGCUAAUGAAAUGGCUUGUUGAUCUUAAAGGGAUUUUACCCUCUGCUGUUAAUAUGGUGGUAUGUGUCACAGCAUCAGCUACUACUAGGGGCAAGCCCCUUCCGGAGGAUGUGUUGCAAAUGACAAUUGAUGCAUGUGAUAGUGCUCUUGCUCUAGAUUCUGCAAAGAAGAUGGUCCUUGAUUUUGUGGAGAGUCGAAUGGGGUAUAUUGCCCCAAACCUCUCGGCCAUAGUUGGAAGUGAUUGUUACAGCUGGUGGUCUUUCAGCAUUAGCAACAUUUCCUGCAUGUAAUGUUCAGCUUCUUGGUGCCAAAAAGAAGAACUUAGCAGGAUUCUCAACAGCUACAUCCCAAAUUCGUAUUGGUUAUUUGGAGCAAACUGAGAUUUUACAGAGUACUCCUCCUUCCUUAAGAAUGCGUGCUUGUCGACUUUUGGCUUCAAAAUCUGCUCUUGCUGCACGUGUAGAUUCCUCUAGGGGAUACCCAAUCGGCCAAACUGGUAGAAGUUUACGAGCGUGCAGAGAUUCACAAAAAGAUGGAAAGAGCCGCCUCCUGCUAAGCAGCCUAAACCACUCCCAGUUCCUAAAUUAGAGCCUAGAAAGAAGAGAGGUGGUCGGCGUUUAAGGAAAAUGAAAGAAAGAUAUGCUAUUACAGACAUGCAGAAGCUGGCAAACAGGAUGCAAUUUGGGGUACCAGAGGAGAGCUCAC
Molecule: long non-coding RNA, 1190 nt
Organism: Salvia splendens (bonfire salvia)
Lineage: Eukaryota; Viridiplantae; Streptophyta; Magnoliopsida; Lamiales; Lamiaceae
Exons: 6
Source: RefSeq, a predicted model, not a curated record